This is a long non-coding RNA of Brassica oleracea var. oleracea, 370 nucleotides long. RefSeq lists it as uncharacterized. The transcript is spliced from 2 exons. The record is from RefSeq and is a predicted model, not a curated record. Lineage: Eukaryota; Viridiplantae; Streptophyta; Magnoliopsida; Brassicales; Brassicaceae.
CUCUCUCUCUCCUAUUCUCGUUUUCCUUUCGGCGACUAACCCUAAUCCCAAAAGAACAAAGCUUUUUGAUUCAAUCUUAUAAUAAUAAAAUGGAACCAUAAAUCUCUUUGUCUCUCUGUCUCAUGCUUUAUCUGAGAAUUAGAAGAAUCAAAAUCAAUCACAUGUGGUUUUGACAUCAUCUUUUCAUUGAGAAACCAUAAAAAAGAAGAUGAAUAUGAAGCUGUUAACGAUCGUUUGUAUUUUCAUAGUGGGGAGAUGCAAAAUCCCACAAUAAGACUGAGCAUUUUGAUUUUCUUAUGGUUUAAUUUGUGUUGUCUAAUACUCUAGUACUAUUAUAUGGCUUUCGAUUUCAAUAUCUUUCUAAUUUUUA